GGAGAGGGUAUAGCUCAGUGGUAGAGUGUGUGCCUAGUAAGCACAAGGUCCUGGGUUCAAUCCCCAGUACCUCCA
Molecule: non-coding RNA, 75 nt
Organism: Camelus dromedarius (Arabian camel)
Lineage: Eukaryota; Metazoa; Chordata; Mammalia; Artiodactyla; Camelidae
Source: the annotation of a RefSeq genome assembly